GGCGGACGGGUGAGUAACACGUGGGUAACCUGCCCAUAAGACUGGGAUAACUCCGGGAAACCGGGGCUAAUACCGGAUAACAUUUUGAACUGCAUGGUUCGAAAUUGAAAGGCGGCUUCGGCUGUCACUUAUGGAUGGACCCGCGUCGCAUUAGCUAGUUGGUGAGGUAACGGCUCACCAAGGCAACGAUGCGUAGCCGACCUGAGAGGGUGAUCGGCCACACUGGGACUGAGACACGGCCCAGACUCCUACGGGAGGCAGCAGUAGGGAAUCUUCCGCAAUGGACGAAAGUCUGACGGAGCAACGCCGCGUGAGUGAUGAAGGCUUUCGGGUCGUAAAACUCUGUUGUUAGGGAAGAACAAGUGCUAGUUGAAUAAGCUGGCACCUUGACGGUACCUAACCAGAAAGCCACGGCUAACUACGUGCCAGCAGCCGCGGUAAUACGUAGGUGGCAAGCGUUAUCCGGAAUUAUUGGGCGUAAAGCGCGCGCAGGUGGUUUCUUAAGUCUGAUGUGAAAGCCCACGGCUCAACCGUGGAGGGUCAUUGGAAACUGGGAGACUUGAGUGCAGAAGAGGAAAGUGGAAUUCCAUGUGUAGCGGUGAAAUGCGUAGAGAUAUGGAGGAACACCAGUGGCGAAGGCGACUUUCUGGUCUGUAACU
RNAcentral lists this ribosomal RNA (659 nucleotides) under Bacillus sp. FJAT-4609. RNAcentral describes it as "bacterial SSU rRNA". It matches the Rfam family "Bacterial small subunit ribosomal RNA", at positions 97 to 741 of the family's 1533-position model. The record is from RNAcentral. Lineage: Bacteria; Bacillati; Bacillota; Bacilli; Caryophanales; Bacillaceae.